CACAGCCCAAGUUUGCUGU
Molecule: small nuclear RNA, 19 nt
Filed under: Arabidopsis thaliana (thale cress)
Lineage: Eukaryota; Viridiplantae; Streptophyta; Magnoliopsida; Brassicales; Brassicaceae
Description: snRNA_09219
Source: RNAcentral